UUGACUAAAGCCAAAUUAGCGGCAUAUUAGUGUUAAUAAUAAAAUUGGGGACCUACCCCUGGUCAAA
RNAcentral lists this transfer RNA (67 nucleotides) under Baetis sp. PC-2010. Its description in RNAcentral is "tRNA-Asn". Lineage: Eukaryota; Metazoa; Arthropoda; Insecta; Ephemeroptera; Baetidae. The record is from RNAcentral.